Ipomoea nil (Japanese morning glory) is the source of this 79-nucleotide transfer RNA. It matches the Rfam family "tRNA". Rfam says of the family: Transfer RNA (tRNA) molecules are approximately 80 nucleotides in length. Their secondary structure includes four short double-helical elements and three loops (D, anti-codon, and T loops). Lineage: Eukaryota; Viridiplantae; Streptophyta; Magnoliopsida; Solanales; Convolvulaceae. The record is from Rfam.
GACGGUUUGGCCGAGUGGUCUAAGGCGCCAGAUUUAGGCUCUGGUCCGAAAGGCGUGGGUUCAAAUCCCACAGCCGUCA